UGGUUUUCCUGGGCUGUGGGGAG
This 23-nucleotide non-coding RNA is filed under the name Cricetulus griseus (Chinese hamster). The record is from RNAcentral. Lineage: Eukaryota; Metazoa; Chordata; Mammalia; Rodentia; Cricetidae.